AUCAACUUUCGAUGGUAGGAUAGAGGCCUACCAUGGUGGUAACGGGUAACGGGGUGUUAGGGCACGACACCGGAGAGGGAGCCUGAGAAACGGCUACCACAUCCAAGGAUGGCAGCAGGCGCGCAAAUUACCCAAUCCCGACACGGGGAGGUAGUGACAAUAAAUAACAAUACGGGGUCCUUUCGGGUUUCGUAAUUGGAAUGAGUACAAUUUAAAUCUCUUAACGAGGAACAAUUGGAGGGCAAGUCUGGUGCCAGCAGCCGCGGUAAUUCCAGCUCCAAUAGCGUAUAUUAAAGUUGUUGCAGUUAAAAAGCUCGUAGUUGAAUUUCGGGAUCAGUUCGUCGGUCGUGCCUUUGGUAUGUACUGGUGUUACUGGUUCCUCCCUUCUGACGAACCGUCAUGUCAUUAAUUUGGUGUGGCGGGAAAUCAGGACUGUUACUUUGAAAAAAUUAGAGUGUUUAAAGCAGGCUCGCGCUUGAAUACAUUAGCAUGGAAUAAUGAAAUAGGACGUUCGAUCCUAUUUUGUUGGUUUCUAGGAUUGACGUAAUGAUUAAUAGGGAUAGUUGGGGGCAUUAGUAUUCAAUUGUCAGAGGUGAAAUUCUUGGAUUUAUUGAAGACUAACUACUGCGAAAGCAUUUGCCAAGGAUGUUUUCAUUAAUCAAGAACGAAAGUUAGGGGAUCGAAGACGAUCAGAUACCGUCGUAGUCUUAACCAUAAACUAUGCCGACUAGGGAUCGGAUGAUGUUAAUUUUUUAAUGACUCAUUCGGCGCCUUACGGGAAACCAAAGUGUUUGGGUUC
This 799-nucleotide ribosomal RNA is filed under the name uncultured Glomeromycotina. Its description in RNAcentral is "SSU rRNA". It matches the Rfam family "Eukaryotic small subunit ribosomal RNA", at positions 314 to 1114 of the family's 1831-position model. The record is from RNAcentral. Lineage: Eukaryota; Fungi; Glomeromycota.